This 275-nucleotide long non-coding RNA is filed under the name Rosa chinensis. RNAcentral's name for it is "sRNA RchiOBHm_Chr5g0006231". Lineage: Eukaryota; Viridiplantae; Streptophyta; Magnoliopsida; Rosales; Rosaceae. The record is from RNAcentral.
CGGUGGGUGGUAGCCGGUGAUCGGAAUCCGGCGGCCGGUGACCGGAUUCCGGCGAAGUUGGCCGGAAUCCGGCGGCCGGUGACCGGAAUCCGGCUGCCGGUGACCGGACUCCGGCGAAGUCCCCUAUGGUUUCUCUCUCUUCCAUUCUCUCUCUCUCUCUCUAAGUAACAAAGGUGAGGGUAAAAUGGUAUUAAAAAAAUAAUAAAAACAAAAAAAAAAUCUUAAUGGGGUAUUAGGGAAGACCUCCUUAGAGUGUUUGGGGUAAGGGGGAAUUA